RNAcentral lists this transfer RNA (79 nucleotides) under Desulfurococcaceae archaeon. Its description in RNAcentral is "tRNA-Lys". It matches the Rfam family "tRNA". From Rfam's summary of the family: Transfer RNA (tRNA) molecules are approximately 80 nucleotides in length. Their secondary structure includes four short double-helical elements and three loops (D, anti-codon, and T loops). RNAcentral also lists the same sequence under 1 other name. Lineage: Archaea; Thermoproteati; Thermoproteota; Thermoprotei; Desulfurococcales; Desulfurococcaceae. The record is from RNAcentral.
GGGCCCGUAGCUCAGCCAGGUAGAGCGGCGGGCUUUUAACCGGCGGAAGUCCCGGGUUCAAAUCCCGGCGGGCCCGCCA